RNAcentral lists this ribosomal RNA (466 nucleotides) under uncultured bacterium. Its description in RNAcentral is "partial 16S ribosomal RNA". It matches the Rfam family "Bacterial small subunit ribosomal RNA", at positions 28 to 507 of the family's 1533-position model. The record is from RNAcentral.
GAUGAACGCUGGCAGCGUGCUUAACACAUGCAAGUCGAACGAUGAAGCCCAGCUUGCUGGGUGGAUUAGUGGCGAACGGGUGAGUAACACGUGAGUAACCUGCCCUUAACUCUGGGAUAAGCCUGGGAAACUGGGUCUAAUACCGGAUAGGAGCGCCUACCGCAUGGUGGGUGUUGGAAAGAUUUAUCGGUUUUGGAUGGACUCGCGGCCUAUCAGCUUGUUGGUGAGGUAAUGGCUCACCAAGGCGACGACGGGUAGCCGGCCUGAGAGGGUGACCGGCCACACUGGGACUGAGACACGGCCCAGACUCCUACGGGAGGCAGCAGUGGGGAAUAUUGCACAAUGGGCGAAAGCCUGAUGCAGCGACGCCGCGUGAGGGAUGACGGCCUUCGGGUUGUAAACCUCUUUCAGUAGGGAAGAAGCGAAAGUGACGGUACCUGCAGAAGAAGCACCGGCUAACUACGUG